This is a small nucleolar RNA of Sander lucioperca (pikeperch), 125 nucleotides long. NCBI's taxonomy places the organism in Eukaryota, Metazoa, Chordata, Actinopteri, Perciformes, Percidae. The record is from Ensembl.
GUGGUGUGAUCAGAGCCAGUGUCUGUCAGACCAUAGACUCUGGUUUAUACCACACCACAGAGCAACAGGAUGGACAAGAGACAGACACCACAGCAGAGUGGCUGGACCUUUCACUCCUAACAUUA